Molecule: ribosomal RNA, 1113 nt
Filed under: Triticum aestivum (bread wheat)
Lineage: Eukaryota; Viridiplantae; Streptophyta; Magnoliopsida; Poales; Poaceae
Description: partial small subunit ribosomal RNA
Source: RNAcentral
AUGUCGCUGCUCGACGACGUCGACGACGAGGCCUUCCUCCUCGCCGCCGAGGCAGCGGAGGCCGCGGCGAACGCGUCCUCCAAGCGCCCCCGCCUCUCCACCUCCCCGUCGCCGACCCCCGCCGCCUCCGAGGGGUCCUACCUGUCCGCGCUCAAGGGCAGCCACAGCGCCGCCUGGAAGCAGCAGCAGGAAACCCUAACCCUCGCCCACAAGCUGCCCGGCGGCUCCAAGGUCCCAGGCGUCUCCCCUGGUGGCGGCGCACAGAUCACCAAGGGCGCGUGCUUCAAGUGCGGGGACACCAGUCACUGGGCGAGAGAGUGCCCCCAAUCCUUGCAGGCAAGUGUCGGCGGCGGGAUCGGGGGCGGUGUAGGAGGCGGAAUCGGCGGCGGCGGCGGCGGCUAUGUGGAUGCGGGCGGGGAGGUGGAGGAGAAGGCGUGCCCCUGCGGCGCUGGGAUCUGCCUUGUGCUCACCUCCAGCACGCCCAGAAACCCCGGCCGCAAGUUCUACAGGUGUCCCACGCGGGACAAUGGAGGUUGCAACUUCUUUGAGUGGUGUGAUGCUCCAUCUCCAGGCGCUGCUAAUGCUCGCAGCAGCACAAGCUUUCAGUCAGAUGCAUCAAUUGUGAAUAUGCCUUGUUCCUGUGGUGCUGGAACAUGCUUAAUUCUCACGACAAAGGCGGGAGUUAAUGUUGGGAGGCAGUUUUAUCGGUGCCCAGCUCAGGGAGGUAGCUCUUGUGGCUUUUUCAAAUGGUGUGACGAUCAGCAGCAGCCUAGGACAGCUGCUCCACUGCAAGGUGGUUCAUCACAAUACCAAGCUGGUGCUACCCCCACCAACCAAAACAUGAGCAAGAGCUCUUCAGGCUGCUUCAAAUGUGGGCAAGAGAACCACUGGGCGAAGGACUGCCCGAAUCAAGCUUCGGUUCCUUACUCUGACAAAGGCGGGAGGGCAUUAAGUUCAGCAACCUCAUCUGAUGGGUGUUUCAAGUGUGGUAAGGCUGGUCACUGGUCCCGUGAUUGCCCUGUUGCAAACAGUGGUGGUGGUGGUGGUGGUGCCGUCGCCAGCAAUGUCAAGUCGUCUUCUACUUUGGGCUCAUGGAACAGCAGGAGAUACUGA